This 520-nucleotide ribosomal RNA is filed under the name Fusarium chlamydosporum. Its description in RNAcentral is "eukaryotic LSU rRNA". The stretch from base 151 to 304 matches the Rfam family "5.8S ribosomal RNA". The record is from RNAcentral. Lineage: Eukaryota; Fungi; Ascomycota; Sordariomycetes; Hypocreales; Nectriaceae.
AUUUUCUCGGGCGGCGCUCCAACCCCUGUGACAUACCUAUACGUUGCCUCGGCGGAUCAGCCCGCGCCCCGUAAAAAGGGACGGCCCGCCCGAGGACCCCUAAACUCUGUUUUUAGUGGAACUUCUGAGUAAAACAAACAAAUAAAUCAAAACUUUCAACAACGGAUCUCUUGGUUCUGGCAUCGAUGAAGAACGCAGCAAAAUGCGAUAAGUAAUGUGAAUUGCAGAAUUCAGUGAAUCAUCGAAUCUUUGAACGCACAUUGCGCCCGCCAGUAUUCUGGCGGGCAUGCCUGUUCGAGCGUCAUUUCAACCCUCAAGCUCAGCUUGGUGUUGGGACUCGCGGUAACCCGCGUUCCCCAAAUCGAUUGGCGGUCACGUCGAGCUUCCAUAGCGUAGUAAUCAUACACCUCGUUACUGGUAAUCGUCGCGGCCACGCCGUAAAACCCCAACUUCUGAAUGUUGACCUCGGAUCAGGUAGGAAUACCCGCUGAACUUAAGCAUAUCAAAGCCGGGGAGGGAA